Molecule: ribosomal RNA, 910 nt
Filed under: uncultured bacterium
Lineage: Bacteria
Also listed under: 1 other name
Description: bacterial SSU rRNA
Rfam family: Bacterial small subunit ribosomal RNA
Source: RNAcentral
UUUCUGGCUCAGGAUGAACGCAAGCUACAGGCUUAACACAUGCAAGUCGAGGGGAAGCGAUAGAGAAAGCUUGCUUUCUCUGGGCGUCGACCGGCGCACGGGUGAGUAACGCGUAUCCAACCUGCCCAUCACUUGGGGAUAACCUUGCGAAAGUAAGACUAAUACCCAAUGACGUCCAUAGAAGACAUCUGAAAUGGAUUAAAGAUUUAUCGGUGAUGGAUGGGGAUGUGUCUGAUUAGCUUGUUGGCGGGGUAACGGCCCACCAAGGCGACGAUCAGUAGGGGUUCUGAGAGGAAGGUCCCCCACAUUGGAACUGAGACACGGUCCAAACUCCUACGGGAGGCAGCAGUGAGGAAUAUUGGUCAAUGGGCGAGAGCCUGAACCAGCCAAGUAGCGUGCAGGAUGACGGCCCUAUGGGUUGUAAACUGCUUUUAUAAGGGAAUAAAGUGAGUCUCGUGAGACUUUUUGCAUGUACCUUAUGAAUAAGGACCGGCUAAUUCCGUGCCAGCAGCCGCGGUAAUACGGAAGGUCCGGGCGUUAUCCGGAUUUAUUGGGUUUAAAGGGAGCGUAGGCCGGAGAUUAAGCGUGUUGUGAAAUGUAGAUGCUCAGCGUCUGCACUGCAGCGCGAACUGGUUUCCUUGAGUACGCACAAAGUGGGCGGAAUUCGUGGUGUAGCGGUGAAAUGCUUAGAUAUCACGAAGAACUCCGAUUGCGAAGGCAGCUCACUGGGGCGCAACUGACGCUGAAGCUCGAAAGUGCGGGUAUCGAACAGGAUUAGAUACCCUGGUAGUCCGCACGGUAAACGAUGGAUGCCCGCUGUUGGUCUGAAUAGGUCAGCGGCCAAGCGAAAGCAUUAAGCAUCCCACCUGGGGAGUACGCCGGCAGCGGUGCAACUCAAAUGAAUUGACGG